UACUGACANUGAGGUGCGAAAGCGUGGGAGCAANCAGGAUUAGAUACCCUGGUAGUCCACGCCGUAAACGAUGUCUANUAGCCGUUGGGUUGUAAUGACUUAGUGGCGCAGCUAACGCAAUAAGUAGACCGCNUGGGGAGUACGGCCGCAAGGUUAAAACUCAAAUGAAUUGACGGGGGCCCGCACAAGCGGUGGAGCAUGUGGUUUAAUUAGACGCAACGCGAAGAACCUUACUUACUCUUGACAUCCAGAGAAUUCGCUAGAGAUAGCUUAGUGCCUUCGGGAACUCUGAGACAGGUGCUGCAUGGCUGUCGUCAGCUCGUGUUGUGAAAUGUUGGGUUAAGUCCCGUAACGAGCGCAACCCUUAUCCUUAUUUGCCAGCACUUCGGGUGGGAACUUUAAGGAGACUGCCGGUGACAAACCGGAGGAAGGUGGGGACGACGUCAAGUCAUCAUGGCCCUUACGAGUAGGGCUACACACGUGCUACAAUGGCGUAUACAGAGGGCUGCGAGCUAGCGAUAGUGAGCGAAUCCCAGAAAGUACGUCGUAGUCCGGAUUGGAGUCUGCAACUCGACUCCAUGAAGUCGGAAUCGCUAGUAAUCGUGGAUCAGAAUGCCACGGUGAAUACGUUCCCGGGCCUUGUACACACCGCCCGUCACACCAUGGGAGUUGAUUGCUCCAGAAGUAGCUAUGCUUAACCCUUUCGGGGAUGGCGGUAUUCUAGAAGUGCC
This 731-nucleotide ribosomal RNA is filed under the name Marinomonas sp. RNAcentral's name for it is "bacterial SSU rRNA". It matches the Rfam family "Bacterial small subunit ribosomal RNA", at positions 738 to 1468 of the family's 1533-position model. The record is from RNAcentral. Lineage: Bacteria; Pseudomonadati; Pseudomonadota; Gammaproteobacteria; Oceanospirillales; Oceanospirillaceae.